GGAACCUUCUCUUCGAGGCAUCCUUUUAAAAAAACCCAUAACAUCGUGAAAGCGGUGUAGCUUAAAACUGAGUACAAUUCCUUAUGGGCAAGCUAGAUGUCAGUUGUGAGAGUACCUAGUCAAAUAGCAUGAGAUGCAUCCCGGGUAACUGGAUAUAUGCUCAGGCUAUACGAUAUAUCCCGAGCUCAUUGCACUAAUUUAUUAUAAAACGUGAUAGUAAGGAAAUAUACCAACGACCAUUCUUACUUCAUGUUUAGCAAGUUUAACUGUCCCGUCAUACCAAUUGCAGGUGGCGAGAGGCGGUUUCAAAUGCGUCCCAGAUUCCCAAGGGCACCUUCUCACUGCAGGACGGAG
Molecule: unclassified non-coding RNA, 354 nt
Filed under: Hevea brasiliensis (rubber tree)
Lineage: Eukaryota; Viridiplantae; Streptophyta; Magnoliopsida; Malpighiales; Euphorbiaceae
Source: RNAcentral